AGUCGAACGGUGUCUUCGGACAUAGUGGGCGCACNGGGUGCGUAACACGUAUGCAACCUACCUUACAUUGGGGGAUAGCCUUUCGAAAGGGAGAUUAAUACCGCAUAAGACAGUAACUAGGCAUCUAGUAGCUGUUAAAGAUUUAUCGAUGUAAGCUGGGCAUGCGACCAAUUAGCUUGUUGGUGAGGUAAUGGCUCACCAAGGCUAUGAUUGGUAGGGGAACUGAGAGGUCAAUCCCCCACACUGGCACUGAGAUACGGGCCAGACUCCUACGGGAGGCAGCAGUAGGGAAUAUUGGGCAAUGGACGCAAGUCUGACCCAGCCAUGCCGCGUGCAGGAUGAAGGCGUUAUGCGUUGUAAACUGCUUUUAUACAGGAAGAAACGACUCUUGCGAGAGGCAUUGACGGUACUGUAUGAAUAAGCACCGGCUAACUCCGUGCCAGCAGCCGCGGUAAUACGGAGGGUGCAAGCGUUGUCCGGAUUUAUUGGGUUUAAAGGGUGCGCAGGUGGUUUAUUAAGUCAGUGGUGAAAGACGGUCGCUCAACGAUUGCAGUGCCAUUGAAACUGGUAGACUUGAGUAAAGUAGAGGUGGGCGGAAUUGAUAGUGUAGCGGUGAAAUGCAUAGAUAUUAUCAAGAACUCCAAUUGCGUAGGCAGCUCACUUGGCUUUUACUGACACUCAUGCACGAAAGUGUGGGUAUCAAACAGGAUUAGAUACCCUGGUAGUCCACACUGUAAACGAUGAUAACUAGGUGUCGGCCGAAUCUGGUCGGUGCCACAGCGAAAGCGUUAAGUUAUCCACCUGGGGAGUACGCCGGCAACGGUGAAACUCA
RNAcentral lists this ribosomal RNA (832 nucleotides) under uncultured bacterium. RNAcentral's name for it is "SSU rRNA". It matches the Rfam family "Bacterial small subunit ribosomal RNA", at positions 60 to 903 of the family's 1533-position model. The record is from RNAcentral.